AACUAACAAGGAUUCCCUUAGUAACGGCGAGCGAAAAGGGAAGAGCCCAGCGCUGAAUCUAAUGUCCCCCGGGCAUUAAGACAUGUGGCGUUUGGGACGAAACAUUGCCUGUGCAGAAUGAUCAUCCAAGUCCCUCUUGAACGGGGCCAUUACCCAUGGAGGGUGCUAGGCCCGUACGAUGAUUUUAUUGUGCAGUGCGUUUCGUCCGUAGAGUCGGGUUGCUUGGGAGUGCAGCCCAAAUCAGGUGGUAAACUCCAUCUAAGGCUAAAUAUGACCACGAGACCGAUAGCGAACAAGUACCGUGAGGGAAAGGGAAAAGAAAACUUGAAGAGAGAGUUCAAUAGUACGUGAAACCUCUCGGGGGUAAGCGGGCAGAACUUGCAAGUAUUGGUGAGGAGAUUCAGGCUUAGUGUCGGUGACUGAGAGUAUGAAUUAAGUUGUUUGUUCGCAAAUGAUUGAUGUGUGCUCUUUGUUUUGCUGAUGAUGCGCCGCAUUUCUUUUUACCAUCCGGGUUGCAUGCAACUGAGUUGGCAAUUUAGGUGCUGGGUGUCUGCGUGUCCUUGUGGCUCGAGCCCUGGUUUUCCAAUUGCUCAUGCGGUUGUUGAAAGCGAACAGGCGUUUGUCGCGGUCAAAGUUAUUCACGAGUAGGGUUUGUAUAGUGCAUGGAUGGGUAACCAUAGUGUAUUGUACCGACUGAUUGUCAGUGAGUGAUUUUUGGCUCUGUUCAGUAUUGCAAUCUAAAGCAUGCGUGGUCUGCCUGU
Molecule: ribosomal RNA, 761 nt
Filed under: Tomocerus ocreatus
Lineage: Eukaryota; Metazoa; Arthropoda; Collembola; Entomobryomorpha; Tomoceridae
Description: eukaryotic LSU rRNA
Rfam family: Eukaryotic large subunit ribosomal RNA
Source: RNAcentral